This 688-nucleotide ribosomal RNA is filed under the name uncultured Bacilli bacterium. RNAcentral describes it as "bacterial SSU rRNA". It matches the Rfam family "Bacterial small subunit ribosomal RNA", at positions 61 to 734 of the family's 1533-position model. Lineage: Bacteria; Bacillati; Bacillota; Bacilli. The record is from RNAcentral.
GUAGAACGCUGAAGGAGGAGCUUGCUUCUCUGGAUGAGUUGCGAACGGGUGAGUAACGCGUAGGUAACCUGCCUGGUAGCGGGGGAUAACUAUUGGAAACGAUAGCUAAUACCGCAUAAUAGCAGUUGUUGCAUGACAGCUGUUUGAAAGGUGCAAUUGCACCACUACCAGAUGGACCUGCGUUGUAUUAGCUAGUUGGUGGGGUAACGGCCCACCAAGGCGACGAUACAUAGCCGACCUGAGAGGGUGAUCGGCCACACUGGGACUGAGACACGGCCCAGACUCCUACGGGAGGCAGCAGUAGGGAAUCUUCGGCAAUGGACGGAAGUCUGACCGAGCAACGCCGCGUGAGUGAAGAAGGUUUUCGGAUCGUAAAGCUCUGUUGUAAGAGAAGAACGAGUGUGAGAGUGGAAAGUUCACACUGUGACGGUAUCUUACCAGAAAGGGACGGCUAACUACGUGCCAGCAGCCGCGGUAAUACGUAGGUCCCGAGCGUUGUCCGGAUUUAUUGGGCGUAAAGCGAGCGCAGGCGGUUAGAUAAGUCUGAAGUUAAAGGCUGUGGCUUAACCAUAGUACGCUUUGGAAACUGUUUAACCUGAGUGCAAGAGGGGAGAGUGGAAUUCCAUGUGUAGCGGUGAAAUGCGUAGAUAUAUGGAGGAACACCGGUGGCGAAAGCGGCUCUCUGGCU